RNAcentral lists this ribosomal RNA (2025 nucleotides) under Triticum aestivum (bread wheat). RNAcentral describes it as "partial small subunit ribosomal RNA". The record is from RNAcentral. Lineage: Eukaryota; Viridiplantae; Streptophyta; Magnoliopsida; Poales; Poaceae.
AUGACUGCUUGCAAGCAGACCGCAUCCACGGGCGCCGCCGCCACGUACGAGGCCGACAGCAAGUCGGCAGCGAAGAGCGAUGGAGCGGAGGAGCGGAAGCCCUCGACCAAGUGCAGGAAGGGGAAGAAGGCCAAGGGCAAGUUGGCGGUGAAGAGCAAUGUUGCGGAGAAGCCCAAGACCCAUGACCUUUCCGAUGUUACACGCGGGUUGGCGGUAAUGAGCAUUGCAACAGAGAAGCCGUUGGAUGAACAGCUCGCCCAGCACGCCCUGUUCACCUACCAGAACUACUUCUGGAUGGACAACUUCAAAGGCGUCUAUGACAAGCCGUCCGUAGAUGCUAUUAAAAGGAAAGCUGCUGAAAACUGGAAAUCCUUUAGCGAUUCGGACAAAGCCCCUUAUGUGGCCAUUGCACGUGUGAACAGAAUACUCAUUGCCGAGGCAUAUGAGUUCAAGAAGGCCAUGAUGAAGUUCAUUUGGCGUCUGGCUUAUGAUCCUGAGAUCCGCAAGGCCGAUGACAACCUCUUCGUCAUUCAGAUGUUUUGUGUUGGUGACUGGAAUAGAGUUAUGCACCAAGGUCCUUGGAUCUUCAGAGGUCUCAUGGUGAUCAUCGAGGAAUAUGAUGGAAGAGGUAAACCGAAUGCGGUCGAGCUUGAUCGUGUGCACGUGUGGGCACAGAUCCAUGACACCACAGAGCUUUAUCGUAAGGAGCCUAUCCUGGAUCAGCUAGCCCGGAGAAUCGGUCAGAGGUGGAACAAAGCUAGGGGUGGAAGACGCGGAGGCACCAAUGGUGCAAGAAAGCGCUCUUCACAAGAGGCGGGACUGCAGGAGGAAGACCUGCAUGAUACUGUUGAAAGCCCCUUGAAAGCUGACCCAGUGGAGAAGAAAGAUGACCAGCCGCAGCAGCCGGGACAAUCAGAACCAUCAGCAAGGAAAAUGCUUGAUCUCCCUGAUGACGCACCUGCUACGGACAUGGAAGAGAAACAGGGGGACGUGCAUGCACAGGGCUGCCUCCGAUGGUCCUGCUUUGGGUGGCCUUUGUCGCCGGAGUUGUACCCGUUUGGCGGCUGGAGGUGGGAGGUGGCUCCGGAGAAAUCCGAGGCCAGCAGUGCUGGCCACAAUGGCGGCGACGCCCGAGGGCGCCGUACCCUUCUUCUGCCGUGCGACGACAAGGACCACAUGCUAUUUGCAAUGGCAACCGAGGUUACAGUGGGGGAUGGUCGACGGGCCAUGUUUUGGCACGAUCGCUGGCUUCAUGGACAAUGCCCAAAAACCUUUGUGCCUACCCUCUUCAAGAUCGCUGCAAGGAAGAACAGAACAGUCCAUGAGGCACUGCUCGAGGAAACUUGGUUAACAGACCUAGCUAAAGGGCUAAAUGAUCAGAUGCUACCGGAACUGAUGCGGCUAGCAACAUUAUUAGAUGAGGUGCAGCUUCACGAGGGCCAGGACGAUGCUAUCUGCUGGCGUUUCACAGAAUCGUUAGAUUACACAGCGAGAUCUGCCUACCUCCUGCAGUUCGAGGGAUCGAUCCCCACGGAGAACUACAAUCUAAUUUGGAGAGUGUGGGCGCCAGAGAAAUGUCGUUUCUUCGCCUGGACUGCGACACUUGGGAGGAUCCUCACUGCGGAUGUUCUGCUGCGGCGUGGAUGGGAGAACAACUAUUUUUGUGCACUAUGUGAAAGAAACCUGGAAACCACGACGCACUUGUUCUGGGAAUGCCCACGGUCCAAGCAAGCUUGGGGAAGGAUCGCCCACCUAACUAGCAUGCCCGCGCUCAAGCCGCAGUCAUGGAGCAACCAAACAAGCAUCUUGGGAUGGAUGGUUGACUGUCACAACCGAGCGGCAACGGAGAAGAAGAAAGGAACUUUGUCCUUGUUACACCUUGUUCCCUGGGAAUUGUGGAAAGAAAGUAAUAGGAGGACGUUCCAGCAGGAAGCUCUGAGCUUAGACGGUUUUGUCAGGCGAUUAAGAGAGGAAAUCACACUCUGGAACCUCACGGGAGCUGGUAUUCCUUUUGAUCCAGGCUAG